GACAGAGGGUGCAAACGUUGCUCGGAAUCACUGGGCGUAAAGGGUGUGUAGGCGGGAAGGUAAGUCGGGCGUGAAAUCCCUGAGCUCAACUCAGGAACUGCACUCGAAACUACUUUUCUUGAGUGCCGGAGAGGAAAGCGGAAUACCUGGUGUAGAGGUGAAAUUCGUAGAUAUCAGGUGGAACACCAGUGGCGAAGGCGGCUUUCUGGACGGUAACUGACGCUGAGACGCGAAAGCGUGGGGAGCAAACAGG
This 253-nucleotide ribosomal RNA is filed under the name uncultured bacterium. RNAcentral's name for it is "partial 16S ribosomal RNA". It matches the Rfam family "Bacterial small subunit ribosomal RNA", at positions 524 to 776 of the family's 1533-position model. The record is from RNAcentral.